Molecule: ribosomal RNA, 403 nt
Filed under: uncultured bacterium
Lineage: Bacteria
Description: partial 16S ribosomal RNA
Rfam family: Bacterial small subunit ribosomal RNA
Source: RNAcentral
AUUGAACGCUGGCGUCUGGCCUAACACAUGCAAGUCGAGCGAGCGGCGGACGGGUGCGUAAUGUAUGGUGACUGCCCGAUAGAGGGGGAUAACUACUGGCAACGGUGGCUAAUCCCGCAUACUAUCGGAUAACCCAUAUGGGAUUGGCUAGUAGGUGGGGUAACGGUUCACCUGGGCGACGAUCUCUAGCUGGUCUGAGAGGAUGAUCAGCAAAACUGGGACUGAGACAGGGGCCAGACUCCGACGGAGGCAGCAGUGGGGAAUAUUGCGCAAUGGGGGCAAGCCUGACGGAGCCAUGCCGCGGGAAUGAAGAAGGCCUUCGGGUUGUAAAGUUCUUUCGGUAGUGAGGCGUUAACUACAGAAGAAGAACCGGCUAACUCCGUUCCAGCAGCCGCGGUAAUUC